UACGGGGGGAGCAAGCGUUGUUCGGAUUUACUGGGCGUAAAGGGCGCGUAGGCGGCGCAACAAGUCACUUGUGAAAUCUCCGGGCUUAACCCGGAGCGGCCAAGUGAUACUGUCGUGCUAGAGUGCGGAAGGGGCUACUGGAAUUCUCGGUGUAGCGGUGAAAUGCGUAGAUAUCGAGAGGAACACCUGCGGCGAAGGCGGGUAGCUGGGCCGACACUGACGUUGAGGCGCGAAAGCCAGGGGAGCGAACGGG
This 253-nucleotide ribosomal RNA is filed under the name uncultured bacterium. RNAcentral describes it as "partial 16S ribosomal RNA". It matches the Rfam family "Bacterial small subunit ribosomal RNA", at positions 524 to 776 of the family's 1533-position model. The record is from RNAcentral.